This 1900-nucleotide long non-coding RNA is filed under the name Neogobius melanostomus (round goby). Its description in RNAcentral is "lncRNA (ENSNMLG00000000864.1)". Lineage: Eukaryota; Metazoa; Chordata; Actinopteri; Gobiiformes; Gobiidae. The record is from RNAcentral.
AAGCGGCUGGUGUUCGAGGUCCCUUCAGGGAAACUGGUGCUGGAUCAGACGCUCAUCGACAGGAUCACAUGGGCCACAUGGACCAGGUAUGAGUGAAAUAUCAAAUAUAUCUGUCCUUCAGCUGUAGCACAGUGUGUGUGACUGCCCUCUAGUGUCCUGGGGGACGAGGUGCUGGGAAUCUGGCCCAGAAACGCGGACAAAGCCGAUGUGUUGUGCGCCUGUGUGUCGCACACCGGACUCAACAUCGCCACUGGAGACGACUUUGGCCUCAUCAAGCUGUUCGACUUUCCCUGCACUGACAAGUUUGCCAAACACAAGCGCUACCUCGGCCACUCUGCUCAUGUGACCAACAUCCGCUUCUCCAGCGAGGACAAGUUUGUGGUGAGCACCGGAGCUGACGACUGCAGCGUGUUUUUGUGGAAAUGCCUGUGAGCUGCAGACCACGUCGACGGGAAGCGCCUUAAAGCACCACAAGUGGAUCAGAGGAGCGUCUCCAGCCACGCGUUUACUCCAGCCACGUGUUUACCACACACAGGUCUGGCACUGGCCCGCGCUCCGCCAACGUUUCUUCUUCUGCCAAAUGAUUGCCACAGUCUCCACACCGGAGCCGGCAGGCCGAGAGGUCGCUAAACGGGACAGGAGCAAUGUUUCAGUUAUGAAUGCUUUAGAUACAUCGUCAUUAUUUAGUGUGCUUUAUGUUUGAGGUCUUUGUUUGAGGGGAGACACUGCAGGCUAAGCUCUUCUAUUUCAGCUUUCAGGUUUAGGGUCGGUUCGCUCUUUACACAACCUUCCACCUGGAAACUAGGACACAGCCAACACUGUUUUAUUAUUUCACUUAACAACUUAGAUUUCAAAGGCCCUUUUCUCCUCCGAAACAUCUCAACUUAAAGUAGCACUAGUUAUUUUAUUUAUUUAAUAUGUUAAAUAAUGCUUUAAACAUAUCAGUUUGAUCAGUGAUCUAAUUUUUAAGUUAAAUAGGCUCUGUGUUUUGGCUAACUUCCUGUCGGCCAGUCUAGGAUAAAGACUACUUCCCAUCCACAUUUUGACAUAAAUGAAAAACAUUAAAUGAGAUUUUUUUUUUUAAACAGAAGAAAACUUAAUUAAAUGUCCAGCCGAGUGCCAUUUCAUAAAAAUGUGUGAAGAUUAUGGUGCCAUUUUACCAUUUGUUAGCGUCAAAUUUACGUUCAUGGCGAAACCACUUACACAGAAGUAUUUACACCUUGAGUUAAGUUUUUUAACAUGUUGUAGGUGGUUAUCCAGCUGCUGCUUGUUUUCAGCCUUAUACUGUUAACAUUUUUAAAUGUGUUUAUUUCAGCGAGACACGGCUAACUCUCCAUAGGGAUGAACCAGGACAGGAAACAGUGUUAGCCUAGGAUGUUAGCAUCAUGUCGCUAUGAAACAUUUUCCUCUUAUUUUAAAAAUGUUCAAAUUGUUAUCUCUAAAUGUAUUUAAGUUAUUCGUAUUCUCCUGCAGUGUCUCACCUUCAAUUACAAGUUCUAAAGCAUAAGCGGCGUCGUCCUGAUUGUUUGGAUCGAUAACAUGCAUUUUUUGCCUUUACGUGCCUCCGUUAAGUUUUAUUUUUGUAAUUUUCCAUGACAUGUUUCACCACGCAGUUCUAAUUAUGCAUUUGAUAAUGAGGAGACUCUCGGUAAUGACAGUUUCAGAGACAGGACUCUGGACUUACACGUUUAGAAGAUGGCUUUUCGUACGGGAGCUGGAGAGGGACAUCUGAGGAGCCGCUCUCUGCUUGGACCAAGACCUUCCAUCCCAGAGCCGUGAAGUGCCUUUUGGAGUUUCCUGCCUAUGUUUGGUGUUAGUCCCGAUAGGUUGUGUUCACGUGAUGUCAUGUUGCAGAUGCUGACAGGCCAUUGGAAAGUAUUUCAAGUCAUUUGAUGAAUUG